Small nucleolar RNA from Saimiri boliviensis boliviensis (Bolivian squirrel monkey), 101 nucleotides. RefSeq annotates it as small nucleolar RNA U13. The record is from RefSeq and is a predicted model, not a curated record. NCBI's taxonomy places the organism in Eukaryota, Metazoa, Chordata, Mammalia, Primates, Cebidae.
AACCUUUUGUAGUUCAUGAGUAUGAUGAUUGGGUGUUCACAUGCUUGUGUGAAAUGUGCCACCCUUGAACCUUGUUAUGUCGGCACACUACCCAUCUGACC